Non-coding RNA from Urocitellus parryii (Arctic ground squirrel), 1105 nucleotides. NCBI's taxonomy places the organism in Eukaryota, Metazoa, Chordata, Mammalia, Rodentia, Sciuridae. The record is from RefSeq and is a predicted model, not a curated record.
UCCAGUCCACGCUGCACUUCCAAGAAAUCUUCCUCUAAUGAUAUGUUAUUUCUCUUUCUUUUUAAAAGAGGCGGCCUCGUCAGAAGCAUUAAGGCCUCUGGUUAGACUGCAGCGGUUGGGAGUGAGCUGCCCCAGGGCCCCCCGCAUCUUCUGUAGCGGAGGUGCGAUGCACACGCGGGUCCGAAGGCUCCAGUGCUCCCUGCUCUUUUCAGUGCAUUAAAGACGCGAGUCCGUGAGGACCCUGCGGGCUCCUUUCCUCCUAAGAGACGCUUUCUUAGGUGCAUGGAAGGGAAAUGACAGGUGUGUGACCGGCAGGAAAUCCAUUUGAAGGGAAAUUAAUGUGAUUGCUGCCAGGUCUUAAAAACCAGCGGGGUGCUCUGUCACACACCGAACCUGUCCGCCUACUGGUCGCUUCCAUAGUUUGAUUCGGGGAUCUUUCUGGAGUCCUUCAGAAGCUCACAAGCCAGGGAGGGGAUGACCGCCACAGCCAGUUUCCACCCUCCUGUUGGCAGGUGGAGUCGGGCCACCGUGUGAUCUUGUGAUGGGUGUUCUGGCCUUUCUGAGCCACUGAGGUUGACAUCCCUAGGACUCUUGGUCCUUCUUCACAGCUGCCCCCUGCCCUUCCAGGAUGGGGGCACCACGAGGGCAUCGUCUUCAUGGCCUCACGGGAUGCUUGUGCAGUGCUCGUGUGGRGCGGGACUCCCACACGGACUGUAACCCCUGAAGGCAUGGCCUGGCACAGUGCCUGCCCUUCUGGUGGCCCCCACGCUGACGUUUGUGGAAUGGGCUGUGGUGGAGAUGAUGCAUUAGAGACCUGGGACUGCAGAUUCCAGGGAGCUGGGUACUCUCCUACACCACAGAGUCGCUGCUUAACCACCACGUGUCCACAGCUCCGUAUUUGCCUUCAACAAACACGUGAGGCUGAUGAGAAGUUGAAGAGGAUUUCCAACUGAUUAGCAGUCAGGAGACCCAUUAACCAAGGCCACCCGGCCAGAGCACAUCUCAUUACCGCAAGAGACGGUGGCCUCUGUGAUAAGGAAUGAUCCUUUCCUGCAUCUGACCCUUUAUGUCUUAAAGAACCACGUUAAAGAAAGGCAGAGGAGGA